GAGCUGAAGGGUGAUAGUGCGUCUCCCCAGCCACACACUGGCACCCUUCUCGCAGGCUGACCCAGGGAGGGGCCCGUUGAGUACCCCAGGUCCUGAAUCUCCAGUUUACUGGAAGGCUGUUUCCUCAGGCUUCUGUACCCCCAGUACCAUUCUUCCCUCGCUCCAUGGUACCAUUCUUCCCUCGUACCAUCCUGUCCUCCCCGGGUCCCCAUCUUGCAAGGGGUGCUGCCCAGGCAGUGCUGGUCCAUCCCAGAAGCAGCCAGGACUUGGUCUGGGAGAGGCCCAGUACCGGAGCUGCUCCAGCCCACAGCUUUAUCCCUUCUCUGGUCAAGGCCCUUGGUGAAUCUGCAAACCCUUUGGAUCCCUUUCUCCAAAAAUGCAUAUACACACACAAUUUCUGAUACUUUUAGGAAUUCUGGGACCCCAGGUUAAGAACCCCUAAUUCACCUGGGUCCUGGGGCCAGGCUUGCUGCUGACAAGGCAGGGCAAUGUGCUCCCUACCUGGCCAGGGUGAGGUAGGCAAUGCCAUCCUCCUGGCCUAUUUGUUGGGUUUCUUCCCCUUUCUGUGCCCUCCCCAGCUCUGCUAUCCAGUUUCACCGACUUCCACGAGCUCCAUCUUCUCUCCCCUCGUGUGGACGAGAGUAAGACUCCUCAGACACAGUAAUGCACGGUGACUCAGACUUUAAUGGUGGUACUCAUUUCAACGCCACAGAGGUGCUGGCAGCUGUGGAACACGGCACGGGGGAGUGAGACGGUGCUCAGGUGCAGCUGCAGGAAGAACGAACGAGGGGGGAAACGGGCUGGGGAGAGAGGGACAGGGGAGGAGCCCCGGGCACACAGCCCCACCUCUGGACCGAGCCAGGCUGUGGUUAAGGCUUGGCACGCACACAGGAACCCUCAUCGAGGCCCCUUUCUGGGACCCUUCCCGUUCCAGCGAGACCCCCACCCCAGGCCAUCUCAGAAUCUACAGUCACAUGAAAUACAGACACAUGGUCCCGUCCAGUCAGGCCAGUUUCUGGCCCUGGAGUUAUGAGGAAGUGAAUCAUUAAUAGGAUGAAUGAAAAUUAAAUAAAUGAAUAAAUAAUAUAUCAGCGCCUUAGGCCAGGCCUGAGCACGCAGCCAGCACUCCCCUCCACUCAGCACUGCGCGGUUCCUGCCUCAUAGGCAACCUGGAAACGAACAGACCCGGCGCAACGCACACAUGACACGUGGCCCCUCUACACACCGCAACAACCAACCCUGACGCUCCAGCACAGACCCUGAUCGGUCUUCCGUGGAUGCCCUUACAUCCUCAGUCCAUGGCCAGUUUUUGAGGAGGGAGAAGAGAAAGGAAGGAGGAGUGGAGAGUGUAGAACCCAGAGUGGGCGAGAGCGGAGACAGCAGGGGCUGGACCAGCCAAGGAGCAGCGCAGCAGGUCAGCCGGGGUGUCUGGGGUGAAAUUUCGAGCAGGACCGGAAAGAAGAGGUUCCAGGAGGACGGGCGAGGGGUUCCAAGUCUCCAGGCAGGUAGAGGGAUCACAGCACGCUGGGAUUGCGGAAAUUAUGUCCAGCGAAGCGAGCUUCGUCCCCCAGCUCUUCUUCGAUUCUGAGAGAGCACUUGUGGCCAAGACUGGGCUGGGAGCACUGGUGAGAGGCAUCCUGCAGAAACGGGCUGAGUCAGGGACGCGAGGCACUCACGCUUGGAUGGCUUCGGUGACCGAACCGAUCUGGUUGACCUUCAGCAGCAGACAGUUGCAGGCCUUCUCCUCCACGGCCCGCUCGAUUCGCUUUGGGUUGGUCACUGUCAGGUCAUCACCCACAAUCUGGAUCCCCACGUUGGCUGUGAACUUGGACCAGGCAGCCCAGUCGUCCUGGUCAAAGGGGUCCUCGAUGGAGACCACUGUUGGGAGAGCGAUGAGGAAGCUCUGAGUCAGGCAGGAACACCCUGCUUAGAUUCCCUGAAUGGACAGAUCAGACCCCCCGGCCAACUCAGCCUCCUCACCCCUGCUUCCCCUGAAAUAAGCCUGCCCUCACUGCUUCUUGAUUCUUCCAUAAAACCUUUCAAAAAACAAGAGUUUAGAAACUUUCUCACAACCUAUCUUUGUAUUUUCCCAUUUUCUACCAGGAAGCCCUUCCUCGUUGCUAUUCUAAAAACUUCAUUCUGCAAUUUAUGUCUAUUUUCUCUCGCUCUGUCUCAGGAACCGGAAACCAACUGCCUCCAUCCAGGGGUAAAAGCCACUGGGGGACCUAGAGAGGGUGAUUCAGCACCUCCUCAUCCACGUCACGUGCAGCUCCAUUCAGCAUCCAGUUUUCUUUGUUGUUGUUUUGUUUUGUUUUGUUUUUUGCCACACUGGUGGCUUAUGGGAUCUUAGUUCCCUGACCAGGGAUUGAACCCGUGCCCUCGGCAGUGAAAGCGCAGAGUCCUAACCACUGGACCGCCAGGGAAUUUCCCAGCAUCCAGUUUUAUCAACCAGAGAUCCUGAACUGUGCUAGUUCCAGUCACCCUCUCACCAUGCCUGGUUCCUCCCAAACCCGCCCCCUGAUCCCAGCAGCUUCAGAGAUCAUGACUUUAAUCAGGGUCCAAAGCAGAUGGAACAGAUUCACCACAUGUACCUGCACAUUUGCACGACAUCCAAAGCCCAGCCUCUGCAGGAGGCUCCUUCACCCCAUCCCUGGUUCUCAGGUUCUUCUCAGGACAUCUCUCCCUGGCACCCGGGUCAGCACCCCCCCGUAAGGUCCAGAGUUGUCCCCAACACAUCCCUGCCUGCCCCCUGCCCUCCCCCUGCCACAGCCCUUGCUCUCACCAGGAUAGUCCCUGACAAAGUCCUGGUAGAGGGCCCCCAGCUGGUCCCCAGUGAUGUAUCGGGAAGGAUUAGCGGGAGACUUGAAGUCCAAGUCGUAUUUGCCAUCACGAUAAAACUCCGAGGCGGCGACAUCCAUGCCAAUGACGAUCUUUUCUGUGUAGCCAGCCUUGUCAAUGGCUUCCUUCACCAGCUCCAAGGCUGGGGAUGGAAUACAAUGGGCGAGGAGGAGUGAGAGAAAGAAAGAAAUUCAGAACAGAAGUGGAGGGCUGUUGCUAGGGAGAGGUCUGGUUAAGCUUGUUGUGGGGUUAUUCCCAGGUGUGCGACGAGCAGCCCACCUUUUAGAAAGGCAGAGGAAUGGAAUUGUGUUAAUAAUAGUUUUUUUUUGUUUCUGUUUUGGCCGCACCGCACGGUGUGUGGGAUCUUGGUUCCCCGACCAGGGAUCGAACCGCAGCCCCUGCAUUGGAAGCGUGGACUCUUAACCACUGGACCACCAGGGAAGUCCCAUAGUUUUGUUUUUUUGUUUGUUUGUUUUGUUUUAAAUAGCUAUAAUUUAUUGAGGGUUUAACUAUGUCACCUAAGCACUUACACAUAUGAUCUCAUUUAAUCCUCACCAUGAUGCUAAGAGGUAGAUACUGUUGUUAUUCCCAUUUUACAGACGAGAAAGACAAGCACAGAGAAGUUAAGUGAGCAAGAUCACCAGCCAGUAACUCUUCAAGUCAAGGUUCAAAUCCAGGCAAUGUGGCCCCAGAAAGUUAACUCUUAGCCACUACCUGCCUGUAGAGUUUCUCUUCACUAUAAGGUUUCUACCAGGGCAGAGAAAGACUAGAAAUCCUAGAAGUCUAAGAGGUUGGGGUGGGAGUGGGAUAGAUUUGGAGUGGAUUCCCUGGAGUAUGGUGUAUCUCAUCAAACUGAGGAUCCAUCGGAGUUAAAGGUGGGGAUGGAUCCCACAGGUCACCUAGACCAUCUCCCAGCAUCCCCAGGGGCUCCAGUGGGAACUUGCAGAUGCUAGCAGAUCUGGCUGGGUGGAUAAAGAAUGUCCCCUUAGGCCUGCCUGGGAAUUUGUUAGGCCCUCUGGCACCCACUCCGAGGACUGGAACCUCUUGGAAUUAGCUCAGGGACCCUCACGCAGCCUCCUCGGGACUUGGUGAAAUGUGUGGCCCUUCCUGAUGUCCCGGGAUGGAGUGAGGCUCAGAGCUAGGAGUGGGGCUCCUGGCCUCACCUUCACUGUUCUCCAGGAUAUUGGGGGCAAAGCCACCUUCGUCUCCCACGUUGGUGGCAUCCUUGCCAUACUUGUCCUUGAUGACACCCUUGAGUGUGUGAUAGACCUCCGCCCCGAGUCGCAUGGCAUCCCGAAAGCUCUCGGCGCCCACUGGGAGGAUCAUAAACUCCUGCAUGGCCAGCUUGUUCCCAGCAUGGGAGCCCCCAUUGAUCACGUUGAAGGCCUGGGAGCCACAGGAGGAAAGAAAAGUCACAGAGCACUUCCCUCUCCGCCCCUGGGAGUGUCAACCCAAAAUCCCAAACUUCCUCCAGCUUCCUGGACUCAGAGUCCCCCGUCCCCAUCCUUUCUCUUUAGCUGCGCCCCAUCAGUUUCCUCCCAUCGGUCCUCAGGAGGCUUCAGACUCCCUCCCCACCCACCCCUGGGAGGGGCAGGUCUAGUCUCACCGGCACAGGCAGGAUGAGGUCUGAGUUCCCGGCCAGCUGAGCAAUGUGGCGGUAGAGGGGCAAUUCCUGCUCGGCCGCCCCUGCCUUACACACGGCCAGGGACACACCCAGGAUGGCAUUGGCCCCAAACUUGGCUGGGAGAUUACAGAGGAAGACACUGAGCAAACACGUCCCCUUCCCCUUCCAGGCCUCGCCUCCACCUAUACUCCCCAAAAGGAGCCGGUAAAGGAGACCCCCCCCUCCUCCCUCUGCACUCCUGCAACACCUCAUGCAUCCUCUCCUGAAAAUAGUGGGGGGCGUCAAGGGGAGGUGAUUGGAAAGGGCAGAGAGCGGCACUAUUGCUAAACAUCCCUGAGACCACAGACUAUCUGCCACCAACUCCCCCCUCCUUAUGCUGCAAAGUUCUCCCUUCUGUCUAAUGUCACUCCCUCCCACUGGCGUUAAACUCAUGGUUUCUUGGAGGGCUACUCCUCCUCGGGUCAUCCUUCUCUUUUUUUUUUUUUUUUGGCCACACCUCGUGGCAUGCAGGAUCUGACCAGGGAUCGUACCCGUGCCCCCUGCAGCGGAAGCUCAUGCACAGAGUCCUAACCACUGGACCUCCAGGGAAGUCCCAGGUCAUCCUUGCUAAGAAGCCCCCCACAGCGCUGGCCCCUCAGUUCUCCAUCUGCUCCAGAGACCCUGUGAGCAGAGCCUCCAUCACCCAAAGCCAGGAUAAAGGCUGGACCCUAAGCCAGAGGGCCUCCUACAUCCACACACAGGCUCACAUCUAGCCAGGGUCCAACCAGGUUCCUGCAACAGCGGCCUGUCUGGAUUAGAGGACCUGAAGCUCCAUGGGAGCAGGGGGCAUCCUUCCCCGCUCCAGGGCCUCAUAGAUACCAGUGGAGGCUCCACUGGGCACCGCAGCCCGGAAAAGCCCUGGGAGGGGAACGUGGAAUGAGGAUGGAGAGAGACGACACCACAGGGACCAGGGAUUCUUCAGCCUUCCAGCUCUACGCCCCUGCAGCCGCAUCCAGCCUUCUUCCCACAGCGCUCCUUAACAACCCCCCGCCCCCCGACCCGGACACACGCACGGAGGCGGAUGCACAAGCAGUGGCCUCCUCAUCCACCCAACUGAGGUCCCACAGGCGCAAGUGGGAACCCACAGAAAUGAAGCUAUGCAGGCAGCACACAUGGUGCACGCACACACACGCACACACGGUGAACACAGAGGGCAGAGGCAGGGUGUAUCACACACUAAACCAGCACACAGAGAUCGGCCUAUCCUGGCUCCCUGGGACAAGGAGGACCCACCCCGCCCCGCUCCAGGCUCGUUAGCCUGGCCCAGCACCCCAUCCCCACUGGGAGUCCCCAGGGAGCCUCCCAUGCCAGGCGAGGGCAAAGCCAGCAUGGGGGCUGUGGGAAGGCCCUGCCCACUACCUUUGGCAGUGUAGAGAUCCACCUCCACCGUGGGAUUCCCACGGGAGUCCAGGAUCUCCCGGGCCCAGAUCUUCUCUAUGGACAUGAUGGCUGGGAUCUCCUUGGGUGGAAGGAAAGGAAGGAGAAAGUGGAAACACUGUAACCGGAGUGGGCGAUGCGGGAGAGGAGUGGGAGAGGGGCGUCUAGAGGAAGUCUGCGGAUGCCGAGGAAGGGUGAGAAAGACAUUUCCCCGAUGCAAAGCCAAAGGACGUGCCAGGGUAAAAAUGCAUAGCCCGGGGAGACCGCGAAACCUUAUCAUCGACAGAACCGGAGGCGAAAAGGGGCAUGGGGAGGGGGCAGACAGGGUGGAGAAAGGCGCAGUUAGACACAGGUGCG
This is a long non-coding RNA of Balaenoptera ricei (Rice's whale), 6235 nucleotides long. RefSeq lists it as uncharacterized. The record is from RefSeq and is a predicted model, not a curated record. NCBI's taxonomy places the organism in Eukaryota, Metazoa, Chordata, Mammalia, Artiodactyla, Balaenopteridae. The transcript is spliced from 5 exons.